GUCUGCAACCCGACUACAUGAAGCUGGAAUCGCUAGUAAUCGCGAAUCAGAAUGUCGCGGUGAAUACGUUCCCGGGUCUUGUACACACCGCCCGUCACACCAUGGGAGUCGGAAAUGCCCGAAGUCAGUGACCCAACCGCAAGGAGGGAGCUGCCGAAGGUGGAGCCGGUAACUGGGGUGAAGUCGUAACAAGGUAAC
RNAcentral lists this ribosomal RNA (198 nucleotides) under uncultured bacterium. RNAcentral describes it as "partial 16S ribosomal RNA". It matches the Rfam family "Bacterial small subunit ribosomal RNA", at positions 1303 to 1500 of the family's 1533-position model. The record is from RNAcentral.